AUUAAUUUAUUCUUAGGUUUUUGAUAUGAUUAAAAUAUAAUAAUGAUACUGUUUGGUUGUUGAGAAGAGAAAAGAAAAGAAAAGAAAAGAAAAGAAAGAUUUCAAAAGAGAAAAAGAAAAAAAGCACAAAAAGAAAGUGAGGCAGGUUGAUGACAGGCAUCACAUGAAUGUAUCCGAAAAUAAACGCAAGAGAACAAUCAACAAGGUCUUAAUCUCAAAACAAAUCUAUACAAAAUCAAAAAAGAUGCCAAGAUAUAUAACCUUCAACAGAUCUUAAACGUAAGAGAUUUAUUUAUUGAUGCUAUAUAUAGGGAAGAUAUUCAAAAAUAAAUCGAUCUCCAAAAAAGAAUCAAGGAGAAAUAAUGAAUCGUAACAGAUAAUCUCACUUCAUCACCAUUAUUUUUUCACUCUCGUGAAAAGAGAGUCCCUCAAACAAGCACACGAAACGAAAAAUUAAAGGAAAAAGUGCGUGCGUGCGUGCGUGUGUGUGUGUAUAUGUAAAUCGACAGCAGUAAAAUGAACAUUUAAGAAUAAGAAACAAAAAUCUCACAGAAAAUUUAAUUACAAUGCUGUACAAGAAGGGCGACAAGAGAGAAGAGCAACGAAGAGCAAAGGAAGCCACAGGAGACAGUAAUCGUAGUUCCAGCUCCGGCGUCCAUGGCCGGCAAUGGCGCCGCCGCGUCCUGCGCCGUUACAUAAGCCAUUGAGAGAACCGCCAUUCCCAAAACAACAAUCAAUAAGGCUCUCCAACUGCCAGAGUUUGCCAUUUAUUUCAGAAGAGAGAAGAAUCAAGCUGCUGCAACUGCGAGUAGCUUUUUCCUAUUUAUAGGGCUUGCUUUCAAAAUUUCGAAUUCGUAAUUUCUUAAUUAAAAUAAUUAAUCAUGUUGUUUAAUUGGUAAUUAAUUAUUACUUUGUGAUUAAUUAAUGUUUGCUCAUUUACUUUGUGGGACCCGCAGAGACACUGACAUGUUAUCCGUCGACACCUUGUAGUGGGCCCCGGAGGUAUUUAAUACCGUUGGAUUGUUUACUGAUGCACGUUGUAGACCGUUAGAUGAAUAAGUCUUAGAAUAGCAUUCCAACUGUGGUGGGUCUCAAAGUUUUGGUUGCAGAGAUCUGCAGACCGGCGUAACGUAGCCGUAAUCAUGUAGUUGAUUGGGACACGUGGCGGGAAAUGAGAAGAGCAUUUGGGUUUUGCUGUCAGUUGUUGUAGUUGAGAUGGCGGUCUUAUGAUGGGACAUGGAUGGUAAUUAUUAUUUCUAUUUAAUUUAUUUUGAAAUGUAUAUUAUUUAGCGUAAUAAUAAUUUAGUAACGUUUUUAAU
Molecule: long non-coding RNA, 1319 nt
Filed under: Carica papaya (papaya)
Lineage: Eukaryota; Viridiplantae; Streptophyta; Magnoliopsida; Brassicales; Caricaceae
Description: long non-coding RNA (CPAP_LNC007281)
Source: RNAcentral